RNAcentral lists this ribosomal RNA (503 nucleotides) under uncultured bacterium. RNAcentral describes it as "partial 16S ribosomal RNA". It matches the Rfam family "Bacterial small subunit ribosomal RNA", at positions 30 to 523 of the family's 1533-position model. The record is from RNAcentral.
AUUGAACGCUGGCGGCAGGCUUAACACAUGCAAGUCGAGCGGGGUGAUGGUGCUUGCACUAUCACUUAGCGGCGGACGGGUGAGUAAUGCUUAGGAAUCUGCCUAUUAGUGGGGGACAACAUCUCGAAAGGGAUGCUAAUACCGCAUACGUCCUACGGGAGAAAGCAGGGGAUCACUUGUGACCUUGCGCUAAUAGAUGAGCCUAAGUCGGAUUAGCUAGUUGGUGGGGCAAAGGCCUACCAAGGCGACGAUCUGCAGCGGGUCUGAGAGGAUGAUCCGCCACACUGGGACUGAGAAACGGCCCAGACUCCUACGGGAGGCAGCAGUGGGGAAUAUUGGACAAUGGGGGGAACCCUGAUCCAGCCAUGCCGCGUGUGUGAAGAAGGCCUUAUGGUUGUAAAGCACUUUAAGCGAGGAGGAGGCUCUUUUGGUUAAUACCCAAGAUGAGUGGACGUUACUCGCAGAAUAAGCACCGGCUAACUCUGUGCCAGCCGCCGCCGUAA